AGUGCUGUAGAUUCUGAAGUCAGAGCUGGCAGCAUUACUGAUGGCUCAGGAUGAAAAAGCACCUUCCGGCUCCGAUGAGGUAUGAAGGCAGCCUUAGAAGCAUCCAUCAGAUACCCAAGGGGAAUCCCAUCAUCCAGUUUGACAGAAAUAAUAGCAGAACAAAUAGACACAGGACACUGGCCACUCCUUUCAUCAACUCUUAGCACAUGCCUGUGAGGCACAGGGCUGCUCACAGCCACCACCACUGUGGAGAGCUGGACCCCACUCCAGCCUGCCUACCUUUGAUGGACAGGUGGAGUGUCUAUAAUCCCACGGAGGUUCUGUCCCUGUGCCUGCAGUCUGUUGGUCACGGUUUUGCGACUGAAACAGUUGGCCUGCUGAGGACGGGUGGCUGAGCCUGGGUCUUAGGGGACGGACAGGCUCAGGUUCGAUACCUGAUACAUGCUCUGAUAAUGCUGCGGUUCUGCACAGGAGAAGGUAUGGCGCUCCUGGAAGAACGU
This 500-nucleotide long non-coding RNA is filed under the name Mus pahari (shrew mouse). Its description in RNAcentral is "lncRNA (MGP_PahariEiJ_G0002170.1)". Lineage: Eukaryota; Metazoa; Chordata; Mammalia; Rodentia; Muridae. The record is from RNAcentral.